Molecule: long non-coding RNA, 297 nt
Filed under: Phoenix dactylifera (date palm)
Lineage: Eukaryota; Viridiplantae; Streptophyta; Magnoliopsida; Arecales; Arecaceae
Description: long non-coding RNA (PDAC_LNC005129)
Source: RNAcentral
UUAGAGUCUUUUUUUUCUAUAAAUAUUAGAUAUUUCUCUUGAUUAUAAUUGUAGAAAUGUACCUUGUGGAAAUUUCAUCAAAAAAAAAAUUGAAAGAAAUUAUUAAACUAAUACUAUGUCAUACGUUACAUUAUUUUGUUUAUUAAUCUUUCUUUGCUACUUAUAUUGUUUUGUAUGCACGUAUAUUUUAGCUAUUAUUUUUACUAAAUCCUACUAAUGGUGGUCAAGCUACAAAUUGCUUAACUGAUAUUUUUCUGUACAAUGAACCCAAAUCGAAUGACAUAAAAUGAAAAAUAU